AUUGAACGCUGGCGGCAGGCCUAACACAUGCAAGUCGAGCGGAUGAAGGGAGCUUGCUCCUGGAUUCAGCGGCGGACGGGUGAGUAAUGCCUAGGAAUCUGCCUGGUAGUGGGGGAUAACGUCCGGAAACGGGCGCUAAUACCGCAUACGUCCUGAGGGAGAAAGUGGGGGAUCUUCGGACCUCACGCUAUCAGAUGAGCCUAGGUCGGAUUAGCUAGUUGGUGGGGUAAAGGCCUACCAAGGCGACGAUCCGUAACUGGUCUGAGAGGAUGAUCAGUCAAACGGGAAGGGACACAGGGCCCGACCCUCGGCGGGAGGAGGCGGGGGGGAUUUUGGGAAAUGGGCAGAAGCUCUUACCCCCCCGUGCGGGGUGUGGAAAGAGGGUUUCGUGUUUGAAAGCCUUUUUAGGUGGGGGGAAGGGGAAUAAAUUAAUUCCUUUGUUUUUUUGAGUUACCAAAAAAAAAAACCCCCGCCUACCUUCGGC
RNAcentral lists this ribosomal RNA (484 nucleotides) under uncultured bacterium. Its description in RNAcentral is "partial 16S ribosomal RNA". It matches the Rfam family "Bacterial small subunit ribosomal RNA", at positions 30 to 508 of the family's 1533-position model. The record is from RNAcentral.